UACGGGGGGAGCAAGCGUUGUUCGGAUUUACUGGGCGUAAAGGGCGCGUAGGCGGCCUGUGCAAGUCAGUUGUGAAAUCUCCGGGCUUAACUCGGAACGGUCAACUGAUACUGCUCGGCUAGAGUGCGGAAGGGGCAACUGGAAUUCUUGGUGUAGCGGUGAAAUGCGUAGAUAUCAAGAGGAACACCUGCGGCGAAGGCGGUUUGCUGGGCCGACACUGACGCUGAAGUGCGAAAGCUAGGGGAGCGAACGGG
Molecule: ribosomal RNA, 254 nt
Filed under: uncultured bacterium
Lineage: Bacteria
Description: partial 16S ribosomal RNA
Rfam family: Bacterial small subunit ribosomal RNA
Source: RNAcentral